CUACCAUGGCAGUCACGGGUAACGGAGAAUUAGGGUUCGAUUCCGGAGAGGGAGCCUGAGAAACGGCUACCACAUCUACGGAAGGCAGCAGGCGCGAAAAUUGCCCAAUCCUGACACGGGGAGGCAGUGACAAGAAAUAACAACUCUAGGUUUUCUUAGAAGUGUAAUGAGGAUAAUUUACAAACCUUACCGAAUGCAAUUGGAGGGCAAGUCUGGUGCCAGCAGCCGCGGUAAUUCCAGCUCCAAUAGCGUAUAUUAAAGUUGUUGCAGUUAAAAAGCUCGUAGUUGAAAAUCUGAUUGCUCAGGUCUCCAGCCUUUAGGCGGGGAUUCUGACAGUCAUCCGCUUGCAAACAUAUGUUCGAUCUUCACCGGUUGGCUAUGUGAGUAAGCACUUUACCUUGAGAAAAACAGAGUGUUCCAGGCGGGUUUGUCCGGAAUGCAUUAGCAUGGAAUAAUAGAACAUGACUGAAGUCUAUUUAUUGGUUAAAGGCUUUAGUAAUGAUUAAUAGGAACAGUCGGGGGCAUUCGUACUCAGCAGUCAGAGGUGAAAUUCUAAGAUUUGCUGAAGACGAACUAAUGCGAAAGCAUUCGCCAAGGAUGUUUUCAUUAAUCAAGAACGAAAGUUAGGGGAUC
Molecule: ribosomal RNA, 633 nt
Filed under: uncultured eukaryote
Lineage: Eukaryota
Description: SSU rRNA
Rfam family: Eukaryotic small subunit ribosomal RNA
Source: RNAcentral